UAAGGAAUAUUGGUCAAUGGACGCAAGUCUGAACCAGCCAUGCCGCGUGAAGGAUGAAGGUCCUCUGGAUUGUAAACUUCUUUUAUAGGGGACGAAACCCAGGUAUUCUUACCUGAUUGACGGUACCCUAGGAAUAAGCACCGGCUAACUCCGUGCCAGCAGCCGCGGUAAUACGGAGGGUGCAAGCGUUAUCCGGAUUCACUGGGUUUAAAGGGUGCGUAGGAGGGCAGGGAAGUCAGUGGUGAAAUCUCCGGGCUUAACUCGGAAACUGCCGUUGAUACUCUCUGUCUUGAAUCCCGUGGAGGUGAGCGGAAUAUGUCAUGUAGCGGUGAAAUGCUUAGAUAUGACAUAGAACACCAAUUGCGAAGGCAGCUCGCUACACGAAGAUUGACUCUGAGGCACGAAAGCGUGGGGAUCAAACAGG
RNAcentral lists this ribosomal RNA (424 nucleotides) under uncultured bacterium. Its description in RNAcentral is "bacterial SSU rRNA". It matches the Rfam family "Bacterial small subunit ribosomal RNA", at positions 355 to 776 of the family's 1533-position model. The record is from RNAcentral.